Molecule: transfer RNA, 78 nt
Filed under: Stenotrophomonas maltophilia
Lineage: Bacteria; Pseudomonadati; Pseudomonadota; Gammaproteobacteria; Lysobacterales; Lysobacteraceae
Description: tRNA-Ile
Source: RNAcentral
GGGUCUGUAGCUCAGGUGGUUAGAGCGCACCCCCGAUAAGGGUGAGGUCGGUAGUUCGAGUCUACCCCAGACCCACCA